UACGAAGGGGGCUAGCGUUGUUCGGAAUCACUGGGCGUAAAGGGUGCGUAGGCGGAUUCUUAAGUCAGGGGUGAAAUCCCGAGGCUCAACCUCGGAACUGCCUUUGAUACUGGGGAUCUUGAGUCCGGAAGAGGUGAGUGGAACUGCGAGUGUAAGAGGUGAAAUUCGUAGAUAUUCGCAAGAACACCGGUGGCGAAGGCGGCCAACUGGACCAUUACUGACGCUGGAGGCGACGAAAGCGUGGGGAGCAAACAGG
RNAcentral lists this ribosomal RNA (256 nucleotides) under uncultured bacterium. RNAcentral describes it as "partial 16S ribosomal RNA". It matches the Rfam family "Bacterial small subunit ribosomal RNA", at positions 524 to 776 of the family's 1533-position model. The record is from RNAcentral.